RNAcentral lists this ribosomal RNA (325 nucleotides) under uncultured eukaryote. RNAcentral describes it as "partial 18S ribosomal RNA". It matches the Rfam family "Eukaryotic small subunit ribosomal RNA", at positions 1470 to 1796 of the family's 1831-position model. The record is from RNAcentral.
CCCUUAGAUGUUCUGGGCCGCACGCGCGCUACACUGAUUCAUGCAACAAGUUUUGUCCUUGGCUGAUAGGCCUGGGUAAUCUUUGAACGUGAAUCGUGAUGGGGAUAGAUGAUUGCAAUUAUUCAUCUUCAACGAGGAAUUCCUAGUAAACGCAAGUCAUCAGCUUGCAUUGAUUACGUCCCUGCCCUUUGUACACACCGCCCGUCGCACCUACCGAUUGAGUGAUCCGGUGAAUAAUUCGGACUGCAGCAGUGCUUGGUCCUCCGGGCUUUGCAGCGGAAAGUUUAGUGAACCUUAUCACUUAGAGGAAGGAGAAGUCGUANCA